CUUUUUUUAACAUUUAAACUUAGACCACAUUAUUAUAUAUGUCAACAGUAGUAUCAGUUGGUAUAAUUACUCACAGACAUAAAGAAAUUGUGUGUCAGCUGUGGUCUUAAUGCGGGAAAACAAUCCCUGCGUCUCAAUGUUCACACUAUCCAUCCUAAAUAGUAUGUGAGAUUAGAAUAAGUGUGUCCCAAAGCAUAGUAUGCUGAAAAGAGUAUGCCAAAAGUCCCCGGAUGGUCAUGCUUGUUUUGUUUCUCUCUGCAGAUAUGUGAGUAGCUCAUAUCAAGGCAAAGUUAAAAGGGAGGUAAAGUAAGUCAAAUCUGUUCUAUCUCAUAAUCAUCUGAGUUCAUAUUCACAAAACCGGUCACAGAAGACUUCUCCGUGGUCUGUUCUUAGCUAUAAAUCAAUGCCAGGGGAGGCAGACUUGUGUUAUACACUACAAGUCAGUUUAUUUAUUACAAUUAGUAAAUAUUCUACAACUACUGUAUAAGUAUUAAAUAAAGUAUAAAUCUGAGUAAGUUCUCUGCUCAAGGCAAUAUCAGCGAUGGUUCUGGAGCCGGAGAGCUCUUCAGGUCUGGAAGCAGCAUCUGAUUUCAUCAUCACUUCAGUCUUUUAUAGACAGCAGGUGGAUCCAGUGUAUUCUGACAUCAUACUGGAAAUCCCCUCAGAAGUGCUUUAUAAAAGGCCUUGCAUCUUUCUCAUUUUUCUGCUUCGGGAUUCUUUGCUCUGCUGUCUUUUACACUUGAUCUGAAACACAGCCGCUGAGGUGAUGCCCAGCUUCUUUUCUCUUCAGCGCUCUCACUAAUACAUGUGUCAUCUCUAUGUGCUCUUGAUUAUACAUGUUAUAAAAGAUUUCUUAAGAAAU
Molecule: long non-coding RNA, 862 nt
Organism: Cyprinus carpio (common carp)
Lineage: Eukaryota; Metazoa; Chordata; Actinopteri; Cypriniformes; Cyprinidae
Exons: 2
Source: RefSeq, a predicted model, not a curated record